Oncorhynchus gorbuscha (pink salmon) is the source of this 2415-nucleotide long non-coding RNA. RefSeq lists it as uncharacterized. The transcript is spliced from 5 exons. The record is from RefSeq and is a predicted model, not a curated record. NCBI's taxonomy places the organism in Eukaryota, Metazoa, Chordata, Actinopteri, Salmoniformes, Salmonidae.
AAAAAGUUAAGUUGCAGCCAUUCCCAGGGUGUUCCGUAUAAAGAUAAUGUCAUCAUAUUUUGAAACAAAGUACAAGAAGUUGGUGAAUGGGGUGCUGAUAGACAAUCGUUGAUGGAUAUUUAUAGAGCUCUGAUCAGGACAACACUUGAUUACGAGUGUAGAGUUUAUGGAACAGCGCGGAAGACUUUGCUUCAGAGGCUGGACAGAAUCCAGUAUAUAGCUUUAAGGAUGUGUAUUGGUGCAUUUAUGCCGUCGUUGUAAAAUAAGACUUACCGAUUUGCCUAGUUAAAUAAAAAAUAUAUUUUUAAUGAUCAACAUCUGUAUAUGCCUUAGUAGUGGAGGCAGGUGAGAUACCUUUAGAAAUACGGCAUAAAAACCCAAUAAGCAUUUUCUUAAGUUGAAAGGCUGCCAUUGAACAUUGAGUUUAACAUGUCAAUAGAUUGUUUUAGCUUUGACAUUAAUGUAUAUUAGCUACUUUAAUCACAUUAUGAUUUCUGAAGAUGAGUUGAGUUUACCUUAAGGGGCAUUCACCUAGAUUUAGCAAUUUGCAGCUAUGGAGAAGAGGCAAUACCAAUAGCUGUAUCAAUUUUCAGUCUGUGACUUGCUUCGCCAAAGCCAUCAAUAGUUGGGCUCCCGAGUGGCGCAGUGGUCAAAGGCACGACAUCUCAAUGCUAGAGGCGUCACUACGGACACUCUGGUUCAAUUCCAGGCUGUAUCACAACUGGAUGUGAUUGGGAGUGCUGUAGGGUGGUCCUCCACCAGCUCUAUGUGAGCCAGGUGGAGGACUUCAGAUGUGUGACUUCCAGCUCUAUGUGAGCCAGGUGGAGGACUUCAGAUGUGUGACUUCCAGUCUAUAGCCAUCAUCUGCAGACAUGCCUGCCUCCUGGAGCCUCAGGCUAAGGCCCUCCACAAACCUCUGGCCUGUGAUCUUCUUAGAACAGUCUGAGAAAACAUUCAGACAUAAUGAUAAUCCCUACACAGUCAAGGGAUGUUCCUGGAUGCUCUGGAGUUGUUUGCCAAGGUCUUGCUGCUGGUCAUAUCACAUGAGGAGGUGUGAACCACGGAAGUGUCUCUCUUUGCUGCUGUUUUAGCCUGGCAUGUCUGACGGCCCUGGGCCGCUAUUCUGACUGUCUGAGGCUGGUUAGUAACUGGCAUCAGGUAGACUCUGAGACCGCAGAUCUGCUCACCCUCAGAGCACGUCUCCACAAACAGCUCAACCAGGGGUAUUAUGUACCGCAGGCUGAAAGACUUCACUUCUGUCAUUGAGGACCUGGUCCUGGCUGUGGAGCUGAGUGAGACUUGAGUCCAGGGGGCGGAGCCGAGCGGACACACCCAGGAAAAACUGAGGGCCGUGCAGUAGGCGGCCCAGGCCCAGCUGGUGCUCACCUAUAACGACUUUGCCGUGCCGUGCUUCUUCCCAUAGCUUCUACGUCGAGGAAACCAUGCUGCUCAGCAAGGCCGUCCAGGAGCAGAAGGAGGAAAGCGGCCUCCACAUUAACAGAGGAGACUGUUUCUUCCAGCAGGACGAGUGGGAGUUUGCCCUGGCUGACUACCAGCAGGCGGAGGAGAUGUCUCCUGAUGACCAGGCCAUCUGGAUCCGCCUCGCUGUCAUCCUCAACACCCUGGGCACACACUGCUACCAGGACUGGUGAGUCUCAGUCUGUCAUCCGUAACACUGUGUAUUGUCUUCACCGCAGGAAGUACCAUGAGGCAGCUCUGACAAGUUAUCUGAGGCCAUCAAGUACAACCCUGGAGAUAGACAGUACUAUGAGAACUGGGCCAAAGCCCCACCAUAAAGUGCCCAACGUGGAGGGGGCCUAGCCAGAUGCCAUCACUACCCUUCUCCUGGACCCCACAAAUGAUCAGGCAAGACCCUCAAUGCCUGUACUGUGUGUCUCAUCAACUCUAUCCAUAAUACUGAGCUGUUAUAGCUAGGGUCUAAUGUGGACUAAAGACCCUAGUUAUGCAAGUACUAAGCUCUCACCACUUGUUUCCAAUGCACAUUGGGGGGGGGGCAUGUUUUUUAUAAGUAUAUGAACAGAUUAUUCUUUAUUUUAACGCACAUUUCAUUUUAUGUAAUACAUGUUUCAUAAAGUGGUGUGAAACUCCCACUUGGUGCAGAACUGACUACUGUAGUAAAUCUGUACCUCUGUCUGCAUGUGUGUGUUUCCAGUUUUAAUGUCACAUGGACAGGUACAGUGAAAUGUCUUUCUUGUAACCAACAAAGCAGUAAUCAAUAACAAUGUAAUACAACAAAUAACAUGGUAGAACAAAAACAAGUGAGAUAUAAACAUAAAAAAUAAGAACACAAUAAAGUAAGCAUACUAUAUACAGGGUCAGUGCCAAUACCAUUAUUAACAAUGUGCAGGGAUACUGGAUCGAUAGAGGUAGAUAUAUACAGUACCAGUCAAAAAU